Molecule: ribosomal RNA, 480 nt
Filed under: uncultured bacterium
Lineage: Bacteria
Description: partial 16S ribosomal RNA
Rfam family: Bacterial small subunit ribosomal RNA
Source: RNAcentral
AUUGAACGCUGGCGGCAUGCUUUACACAUGCAAGUCGAACGGUAACAGGCCGCAAGGUGCUGACGAGUGGCGAACGGGUGAGUAAUGCAUCGGAACGUGCCCAGUCGUGGGGGAUAACUACUCGAAAGAGUAGCUAAUACCGCAUACGAUCUAUGGAUGAAAGCGGGGGACCGUAAGGCCUCGCGCGAUUGGAGCGGCCGAUGUCAGAUUAGGUAGUUGGUGGGGUAAAGGCUCACCAAGCCAACGAUCUGUAGCUGGUCUGAGAGGACGACCAGCCACACUGGGACUGAGACACGGCCCAGACUCCUACGGGAGGCAGCAGUGGGGAAUUUUGGACAAUGGGCGCAAGCCUGAUCCAGCAAUGCCGCGUGCAGGAAGAAGGCCUUCGGGUUGUAAACUGCUUUUGUACGGAACGAAACGGCUCUGGUUAAUACCCGGGGCUAAUGACGGUACCGUAAGAAUAAGCACCGGCGAACUACG